UACGAAGGGGGCUAGCGUUGCUCGGAAUCACUGGGCGUAAAGGGUGCGUAGGCGGGUCUUUAAGUCAGGGGUGAAAUCCUGGAGCUCAACUCCAGAACUGUCUUUGAUACUGAAGAUCUUGAGUUCGGGAGAGGUGAGUGGAACUGCGAGUGUAGAGGUGAAAUUCGUAGAUAUUCGCAAGAACACCAGUGGCGAAGGCGGCUCACUGGCCCGAUACUGACGCUGAGGUGCGAAAGCGUGGGGAGCAAACAGG
This 253-nucleotide ribosomal RNA is filed under the name uncultured bacterium. Its description in RNAcentral is "partial 16S ribosomal RNA". It matches the Rfam family "Bacterial small subunit ribosomal RNA", at positions 524 to 776 of the family's 1533-position model. The record is from RNAcentral.